Propithecus coquereli (Coquerel's sifaka) is the source of this 113-nucleotide unclassified non-coding RNA. It matches the Rfam family "Y RNA". From Rfam's summary of the family: Y RNAs are components of the Ro ribonucleoprotein particle (Ro RNP), in association with Ro60 and La proteins. The Y RNAs and Ro60 and La proteins are well conserved, but the function of the Ro RNP is not known. The record is from Ensembl. NCBI's taxonomy places the organism in Eukaryota, Metazoa, Chordata, Mammalia, Primates, Indriidae.
GGCUUGUCUGAAGGUGGUGAGUUAUCUCAAUUGAUUGUUCAUAGUCGGUUACAGAUUGAACUCCUUGUUCUACUCUUUCACCCCUUAUCACUACUGCACUAGACUAGUCUUAA